GCUUACGGCCGUACCAGCCUGGGG
This 24-nucleotide ribosomal RNA is filed under the name Esox cisalpinus. Lineage: Eukaryota; Metazoa; Chordata; Actinopteri; Esociformes; Esocidae. The record is from RNAcentral.